UUUAUGGAGAGUUUGAUCUUGGCUCAGGACGAACGCUGGCGGCGUGCCUAAUACAUGCAAGUCGAGCGCAGGAAGCAAGCUGAUCCCUUCGGGGUGACGCUUGUGGAAUGAGCGGCGGACGGGUGAGUAACACGUGGGCAACCUGCCUGUAAGACUGGGAUAACUCCGGGAAACCGGUGCUAAUACCGGAUAAUACUUUUACUCUCAUGAGUUUAAGUUGAAAGAUGGCUUUUAGCUAUCACUUACAGAUGGGCCCGCGGCGCAUUAGCUAGUUGGUGGGGUAAUGGCCUACCAAGGCGACGAUGCGUAGCCGACCUGAGAGGGUGAUCGGCCACACUGGGACUGAGACACGGCCCAGACU
This 361-nucleotide ribosomal RNA is filed under the name Aquibacillus koreensis. Its description in RNAcentral is "Virgibacillus koreensis Bacterial small subunit ribosomal RNA". It matches the Rfam family "Bacterial small subunit ribosomal RNA", at positions 1 to 337 of the family's 1533-position model. Lineage: Bacteria; Bacillati; Bacillota; Bacilli; Caryophanales; Bacillaceae. The record is from Rfam by way of RNAcentral.